UAGGGAAUCUUCGGCAAUGGGGGGCACCCUGACCGAGCAACGCCGCGUGAGUGAAGAAGGUUUUCGGAUCGUAAAGCUCUGUUGUUAAGGAAGAACGAGUGUGAGAAUGGAAAGUUCAUACUGUGACGGUACUUAACCAGAAAGGGACGGCUAACUACGUGCCAGCAGCCGCGGUAAUAAGUAGGUCCCGAGCGUUGUCCGGAUUUAUUGGGCGUAAAGCGAGCGCAGGCGGUUAGAUAAGUCUGAAGUUAAAGGCAGUGGCUCAACCAUUGUAGGCUUUGAAAACUGGUUAACUUGAGUGCAGAAGGAGAGAGUGGAAUUCCAUGUGUAGCGGUGAAAUGCGUAGAUAUAUGGAGGAACACCGGUGGCGAAAGCGGCUCUCUGGUCUGUUACUGACGCUGAGGCUCGAAAGCGUGGGGAGCGAACAGG
RNAcentral lists this ribosomal RNA (429 nucleotides) under Bacteroidota bacterium. RNAcentral describes it as "Bacteroidetes bacterium partial 16S ribosomal RNA". It matches the Rfam family "Bacterial small subunit ribosomal RNA", at positions 355 to 776 of the family's 1533-position model. Lineage: Bacteria; Pseudomonadati; Bacteroidota. The record is from RNAcentral.